AUACGUAGGGGGCUAGCGUUAUCCGGAUUUACUGGGCGUAAAGGGUGCGUAGGUGGUUCUUAAGUCAGGAGUGAAAGGCUACGGCUCAACCGUAGUAAGCUCUUGAAACUGGGAAACUUGAGUGCAGGAGAGGAAAGUGGAAUUCCUAGUGUAGCGGUGAAAUGCGUAGAUAUUAGGAGGAACACCAGUAGCGAAGGCGAUAUUCUGGCCGACAACUGACACUGAGAUGCGAGAGCAUGGGUAGC
Molecule: ribosomal RNA, 245 nt
Filed under: uncultured bacterium
Lineage: Bacteria
Description: partial 16S ribosomal RNA
Rfam family: Bacterial small subunit ribosomal RNA
Source: RNAcentral